CCCCCAGUAGAUAAACAUUCAGAGGAGUAACAAAAGAAGAAACAGCAGAAAUGAAAAGUUCACUCUAAAUUGGGGGAAAAGCAAAUUUAAAUAUAUCACCUUAUUACUUUCACCUUAUCAAAUAUAAUUUUUAAAUGAUUUGAUAUCUAAUUCCAGCAAAAGUGGCAUUAAAAUGGUUCUCUUCAUACAUUGCUGGUGAAAUUACAACUUAGAACACCCUUUGGGGAAGCUAUUUGGCAAUAAAACAAGAAAUUUCCUUUUUAUUUUUAAUUUUAUUAGUAUAUUUUUUGCAGUUCAUGAGGUUUAUAAUCAUCUUGGGGAGCGUUACAUGUACAUACUACAACAAGAAUUUUACAAAACAUUUCCACAUUCCAGUAAUCUGACUCCUGAGAAUCUGUUCCUAAAUAGUGGAAAAUACAAUGUGAGGUUGGGGAGAAGCAGGUUGAAGAGACCUAAGCAUUUUCAGCAUUUUGAAACAAUUAUAUCAAUUUAAAUACCCAAAUAUUGGACCCAAUAGAACUAUUCAACAGUAAUUCAUCUUAAAAAUGAUAGAUAGAUAAUAGUAAGCAGGGAGACAGCUCUUUCUCAGAGGCGAUAUAGGGAUCAAGAGAUGAGGGGGAGGGCCAAGGAUUUAGCUCAGUGGUUCCGGUGCCUGCCUUGUAAGCGCAAGGUCCCGAAAGUUCGAUCGCGUACCAAAAAAAAAAGAGAUUAAGGUAGCAGGAGGGAGGACAGGGACAGACAUGAAGAAAGGAAUGAUGUAUGCAAGGACUGUAAACAGUAUGUGCUGCAAACAGGCACUAAUAAAAAGGGAAAAAAAUAAAGUUCUCAAAUUAUAAGCAAACAUCCUUUUUUAAAAAAUGAUGGUUAUAAGUCCAUUUUUGGUGGUGGAUGCCUAUAAAUCCCAAGAGAUUGAGGCAGGAGUUCUAGGAGUUCUUCCCAAGCUUCUAGAGCAUCCUGGGCAAUUUAGCACAACCCUGAAUCAAAACGAGAAAUAAAGAGUCUGGGGCUGUAGCUCAGUGUUAGAGCAUUUGUCUCGCCCUGCACAAAGCCCUGGGUCCCAUUCCCAAUACCCCCACACACACACACACACACACACACACACACACACACACACAAAGAUGGUUAUGAAGACUACAGCAAUAUGAAGUGAUUAAUAUUAAUGGAAAAAGUAAUAUCCAAUUUUAUGUGUAGGCAUAUUUAAAAACCAGAAUACCAAAAUUAUGAAUAUGACUGAAUAAAAUUAUGGGCCUUGUUUUCCCUAUCCACAGUGCCAGGAUGAGUCCCUGAGUCCCCACACCACCUCUGAGCUGUAACAGCUUCCCCAUACUCUCUUGUCCUUAUCCUGGGGAAGAGGAUCUUACCUCAGUUUCCCUACCUCAGCCUGGAGCCCUGCUCUUAUCCUCAGUCCACUUGGAUUUCCCCUUCCCCAAGUGGCUGGUUUUAGCUCCCCUCCACUUCUGGGUUAGGCUGGGCUUCUGCAAAAUGGGCUGGGUCACCCAAGAACCUUCCCACUGCGGCCCCUUCUGUCACCGAAUCUGGAUGGCAUUCUUGACCCAUUCCUCUCUCCCUGCCUCCUGUUCAUUCUCCUGUUUUCUGCUUCCCAUCUUCCCUGUCGUUGCUGUUGCCCAUCCCCUAGACAGACGCAGUGGCUUCUCAAUGAGCUCAUCGCCUCCCCCUUUCUCUGGUGUCCAGUGAGCUCUGAAAGAGGCAAAUCAGACCUUGCCCUCCCCACAGGCCCACUAGCUUCCAGGUGGUCAGGCCAAAGUCCCCAAAGCCUUAUCAGCCCUGAAGAUGCCAUGCCCGACGGCCAGCCUCCUCCUCAAACACAAUCCCCCACCCUCCAAGCUCCAGCUGCAAUGGCUGUUCCCUUCCUGAAGCCUAAGACCCCAAGCCCUUUACUUAACGACCCCAACUAAUACCCUGGGCCUCCUUGUUUGGAAUGGUGGCCUGCUCCCUGAGUUUGCCAUACCCUUGACCUCAGUAUUUGGGCAGCAGGAUGGCCCCUCUGGGGUCUGCCUCUACCCCAAAUCAAAGUCUCCAGGUCCCUCCUGUUCACCUGUCCUCCCUGACCAUCCCAAGGCCGAGUUCCCAGCAUGAGCUGCCUAUAAGUCACCCCCUUUCAGAUACAGGACACCAGUGAAGUGGCUCCCACAUCCUUUGGCUCCUCUGAGACCGUAGGCAAAGGAAGCAGAGGACAAUAGAAGGCGCAUAAGUUGUGGCUUUGACAGCUCUGGAUCUGAGUCCUGGUUCUGCCAUCGGGUAGGUUGCUUAACCUCUCUGAGCCCCUUUUUCUGUGGGAUCUAACUUGGGACCUUGCGCUUUUGCAAGGCAGGUGGCAGAACCACUGAGGUAAAUCCCUGGCCCUCUCCUCUGUUAAUGUGCACAUGGAAACAGAAUAGUCCAGUAGUAAAGAAUGUGGACUUUGAAAUCCGUGGUGGGCUUAAAUUCCUCUCUAGUAUGGACUAUUUGUGGAGCCUGAUCUUCACAUUCACCUGGAAAAACAGGUAAUAAUCGCAGGUACGUGAUAGGACUGUUGUGACACUUAAGAAAGAUAGUGAAUGAAGUACUUAGCACAAGGACUGCACCAGGAAGAACUCAGUUGUCAGAGGCUGUGCUAAUCCUAGAAAGCAGCUGGCACUGUGUUAGACACAAGAGGGCGACUCAGCAAUUACUAGUUCACUAUCACCUCCCCUUUUCCCCAGGUCAGGCAGGAUCCACUGUCGGGAGCAAUGCUGCAUAAUUUUAGGGAAAAAUCAUUUGGUUAGCCUAGUUCUGCCUACAGCCCAGCUAUGGAAUUCCCAGACAUAGUUCCCUUUUUAGCCUCUGGUCACAACUGAGACCUCAAUGAUCUGGUGAUGCUGUGAUUCUCUAGACAAGAUUACUACACCAGCUGAAAACAUCCUGGGAGGAAAAAACAUCUACUCAGUUCCUCGUUGUUCUUGGAUUGUUACAUCUUAUUUAGGCAGGAUGUACUGAACUCUCCGCAAGUCAUUUGUUACAUUUGCACGCCGCCCCCGCCCCCCCGCCCCCCCCCCCGACUGAAUAAAAGGUGCAGUAGGAGG
Molecule: long non-coding RNA, 3062 nt
Filed under: Heterocephalus glaber (naked mole-rat)
Lineage: Eukaryota; Metazoa; Chordata; Mammalia; Rodentia; Bathyergidae
Description: lncRNA (ENSHGLG00000047449.1)
Rfam family: tRNA (bases 1003-1075)
Source: RNAcentral